GUUUAGUGGGUUUUGGGGUAAGAAGGAGUCUUAAGAAAAAAGGUGAAGAAUCAUUGAUUCCUGAAACUAUUGAUGAUCUUAUAACCCCUGAGGAGAAGGACAAACUAUUCACUGCUAUUGGUUACAGCGGGAGCAUGCAUAACUUGACUUUGCCCAAGAAGUAUGUUGCCUAUAUAAUGACCUUGAAGUUGGUAAGCACUUCUAUUGUAAUCAGAGAAAACAAAAAUAUUCCUGAAAUCCUAAAAAUCCAGAUCAUUGGCCUGGGCACCCAAGUAUGCCAGCGACCGGGAGCACAAGCCCUUAAGUAAGUUUUUAAAAACUUAU
Molecule: long non-coding RNA, 324 nt
Filed under: Cavia porcellus (domestic guinea pig)
Lineage: Eukaryota; Metazoa; Chordata; Mammalia; Rodentia; Caviidae
Description: lncRNA (ENSCPOG00000036125.1)
Source: RNAcentral